This 1016-nucleotide ribosomal RNA is filed under the name uncultured bacterium. RNAcentral's name for it is "bacterial SSU rRNA". It matches the Rfam family "Bacterial small subunit ribosomal RNA", at positions 357 to 1376 of the family's 1533-position model. The record is from RNAcentral.
AGGAAUAUUGGUCAAUGGACGAGAGUCUGAACCAGCCAAGUAGCGUGAAGGAUGACUGCCCUAUGGGUUGUAAACUUCUUUUAUACGGGAAUAAAGUGAGGCACGUGUGCCUUUUUGUAUGUACCGUAUGAAUAAGGAUCGGCUAACUCCGUGCCAGCAGCCGCGGUAAUACGGAGGAUCCGAGCGUUAUCCGGAUUUAUUGGGUUUAAAGGGAGCGUAGGCGGACGCUUAAGUCAGUUGUGAAAGUUUGCGGCUCAACCGUAAAAUUGCAAUUGAUACUGGGUGUCUUGAGUACAGUAGAGGCAGGCGGAAUUCGUGGUGUAGCGGUGAAAUGCUUAGAUAUCACGAAGAACUCCGAUUGCGAAGGCAGCUUGCUGGACUGUAACUGACGCUGAUGCUCGAAAGUGUGGGUAUCAAACAGGAUUAGAUACCCUGGUAGUCCACACAGUAAACGAUGAAUACUCGCUGUUUGCGAUAUACAGUAAGCGGCCAAGCGAAAACGUUAAGUAUUCCACCUGGGGAGUACGCCGGCAACGGUGAAACUCAAAGGAAUUGACGGGGGCCCGCACAAGCGGAGGAACAUGUGGUUUAAUUCGAUGAUACGCGAGGAACCUUACCCGGGCUUGAAUUGCAACUGAAUGAUGUGGAGACAUGUCAGCCGCAAGGCAGUUGUGAAGGUGCUGCAUGGUUGUCGUCAGCUCGUGCCGUGAGGUGUCGGCUUAAGUGCCAUAACGAGCGCAACCCUUAUCGAUAGUUACCAUCAGGUUAUGCUGGGGACUCUGUCGAGACUGCCGUCGUAAGAUGUGAGGAAGGUGGGGAUGACGUCAAAUCAGCACGGCCCUUACGUCCGGGGCUACACACGUGUUACAAUGGGGGGUACAGAAGGCAGCUACACGGCGACGUGAUGCUAAUCCCUAAAGCCUCUCUCAGUUCGGAUUGGAGUCUGCAACCCGACUCCAUGAAGCUGGAUUCGCUAGUAAUCGCGCAUCAGCCACGGCGCGGUGAAUACGUUCCCG